Triplophysa dalaica is the source of this 1178-nucleotide long non-coding RNA. RefSeq lists it as uncharacterized. The record is from RefSeq and is a predicted model, not a curated record. Lineage: Eukaryota; Metazoa; Chordata; Actinopteri; Cypriniformes; Nemacheilidae. The transcript has 2 exons.
GAACGCGCAUCGCAGAACAGAGCAUGGCGAACAUUUCUGUUUAUAAACCAUAUACUUUUUUUAAAUGACUGAUCGUUUCGCUAGAUAAUACCUUUAUUCAUCGUCUGGUAUCGUUUAAAGCCCUUUAAAGCUGAACUGAAACUGUCACUAUAUGGAGAAAAAUCUGGAAAUGUUUUCACCAAAAACCUUCAUUUCUUUUCGACUAAAGAAACAAAUACAUUAACAACUUGGAUGACAUGGGGAUCUCCAAUAACAUGGUUGUCCGAGUGUUGAGUGCGGUUGACCCCAAGUAUUCCGAAAACCACAAACACCAUGGCUCCAGUGUCCACUAGAGGACGCACUGCUGGUUUCCCACAACCACCUCCACCGCAAGGGUUAAAUCCCGAUGUCCUGGAGACCUUUACCUGAGUAGUGACUGAUGAGAUCAAAAUGAUGUAUUACAUAGUAAUGAAAGAGUGAUGAAAGACAAGAACCGAGAAAACAUAAUGUUGCUAAAUGAGAACGUAUACAAGGAACAUUGCUUGAGGGUAUUUUGGAAUGAAGCAUGUUUUAAAUGAUCAUUUCGUGCAGCAGUGUGAUGUUUGUCGCUUUAUACCACGGCAACUAUUUAAAAAAAAGUUUUUGUCUAAUUCAGGUUUAAUUACUAUACAUGUUGUUCUCAUGCCCCCAUAUUAAUUGACUAUAUUAAGUUGUACUUGGUAACACAGACUAUACAUAAAAUGAACAAGUGAAGCAAAAAGCUUGAUUUAAAGGCAAACACGACAGAGAUACAGUAACCAUUAUAACUAUAUGCAUCCAUUUGGAGUUUACCUAAAAAUGUGAAUUUGGUCAAUAUUUACCCUUAUGCCAUUCCAAACUCAUAUGACUUGUUCUUCCAUGCAAAAAUAUUAGGAAUAAUGUAUUUUUCGAAUAUUUUGAAAAUCAAUGAAUGUUCUAAUGACUUCCAUUGUAUUCUUCAAAGUAUUAUUACAUUUUACAUUUGGCAGACGCUUUUAUCCAAAGUGACUUACAUUGCUUUAUCCUAUACAUUUCACAUAGGUAUUUGCAAUCCCCUGGGAUCGAACCCACAACCUUGUCAACGCAAUGCUCUUACCACUGAGCUACAGGAAAGCUGUAUAAAUUAUAAAUUUGGGGUACACUAUCCCUUAAACCAUAAAUAAAUGUUGAAUAAAAACCUA